GCUGGAUCUUGUUGGUUAAAAGCAUCAUGCCGGUGGCGGUGGCGAAGAGGAGGGUGGAAGAGAGCUUGAGCGUGGGGGAGAUUGGGGCGAUGCCGGCCAUGAUGGAUGCUGCGAGGGUGAGAGAGUUGAUGGAGGUGGGGAGGAGGAGAGCCCAGUUGUUGCGCUGGGCGCCGAUGAUGGAAUGCAUUUGGGCGCGGUCGGCGGCGGACUCCACGAUGGCGAGGAGUUUGGGGAGGUUUGGAGAGGCGUGGGUUGGGGAUUGGUGCUGUUUGAGAGUUAGCUCCUCGAGCAUGGAGAGGUUUGGGAGGGAUAUUUG
Molecule: unclassified non-coding RNA, 316 nt
Filed under: Hevea brasiliensis (rubber tree)
Lineage: Eukaryota; Viridiplantae; Streptophyta; Magnoliopsida; Malpighiales; Euphorbiaceae
Source: RNAcentral